This 1338-nucleotide ribosomal RNA is filed under the name metagenome. RNAcentral's name for it is "bacterial SSU rRNA". It matches the Rfam family "Bacterial small subunit ribosomal RNA", at positions 162 to 1498 of the family's 1533-position model. The record is from RNAcentral.
GCUAAGACCGCAUAGGUGUAGAGAUCGCAUGAACUCUAUAUGAAAAGUGCUACGGGACUGGUAGAUGAUGGACUUAUGGCGCAUUAGCUGGUUGGUAGGGUAACGGCCUACCAAGGCGACGAUGCGUAGCCGACCUGAGAGGGUGACCGGCCACACUGGGACUGAGACACGGCCCAGACUCCUACGGGAGGCAGCAGUAGGGAAUUUUCGGCAAUGGGGGAAACCCUGACCGAGCAACGCCGCGUGAAGGAAGAAGUAAUUCGUUAUGUAAACUUCUGUCAUAGAGGAAGAACGGUGGAUAUAGGGAAUGAUAUCCAAGUGACGGUACUCUAUAAGAAAGCCACGGCUAACUACGUGCCAGCAGCCGCGGUAAUACGUAGGUGGCGAGCGUUAUCCGGAAUUAUUGGGCGUAAAGAGGGAGCAGGCGGCACUAAGGGUCUGUGGUGAAAGAUCGAAGCUUAACUUCGGUAAGCCAUGGAAACCGUAGAGCUAGAGUGUGUGAGAGGAUCGUGGAAUUCCAUGUGUAGCGGUGAAAUGCGUAGAUAUAUGGAGGAACACCAGUGGCGAAGGCGACGAUCUGGCGCAUAACUGACGCUCAGUCCCGAAAGCGUGGGGAGCAAAUAGGAUUAGAUACCCUAGUAGUCCACGCCGUAAACGAUGAGUACUAAGUGUUGGGAGUCAAAUCUCAGUGCUGCAGUUAACGCAAUAAGUACUCCGCCUGAGUAGUACGUUCGCAAGAAUGAAACUCAAAGGAAUUGACGGGGGCCCGCACAAGCGGUGGAGCAUGUGGUUUAAUUCGAAGCAACGCGAAGAACCUUACCAGGUCUUGACAUCGAUCUAAAGGCUCCAGAGAUGGAGAGAUAGCUAUAGAGAAGACAGGUGGUGCAUGGUUGUCGUCAGCUCGUGUCGUGAGAUGUUGGGUUAAAUCCCGCAACGAGCGCAACCCCUGUUGCCAGUUGCCAGCAUUAAGUCGGGGACUCUGGCGAGACUGCCGGUGACAAGCCGGAGGAAGGCGGGGAUGACGUCAAAUCAUCAUGCCCCUUAUGACCUGGGCUACACACGUGCUACAAUGGACAGAGCAGAGGGAAGCGAAGCCGCGAGGUGGAGCGAAACCCAUAAAACUGUUCUCAGUUCGGACUGCAGUCUGCAACUCGACUGCACGAAGAUGGAAUCGCUAGUAAUCGCGAAUCAGCAUGUCGCGGUGAAUACGUUCUCGGGCCUUGUACACACCGCCCGUCACACCAUGAGAGUCGGUAACACCCGAAGCCGGUGGCCUAACCGCAAGGAAGGAGCUGUCUAAGGUGGGACUGAUGAUUGGGGUGAAGUCGGAACAAGGUA